This 497-nucleotide ribosomal RNA is filed under the name uncultured bacterium. RNAcentral describes it as "partial 16S ribosomal RNA". It matches the Rfam family "Bacterial small subunit ribosomal RNA", at positions 28 to 507 of the family's 1533-position model. The record is from RNAcentral.
GAUGAACGCUGGCGGCGUGCCUAAUACAUGCAAGUCGAGCGAACAGACGAGGAGCUUGCUCCUCUGACGUUAGCGGCGGACGGGUGAGUAACACGUGGAUAACCUACCUAUAAGACUGGGAUAACUUCGGGAAACCGGAGCUAAUACCGGAUAAUAUAUUGAACCGCAUGGUUCAAUAGUGAAAGACGGUUUUGCUGUCACUUAUAGAUGGAUCCGCGCCGUAUUAGCUAGUUGGUAAGGUAACGGCUUACCAAGGCAACGAUGCGUAGCCGACCUGAGAGGGGGAUCGGCCACCCUGGAACUUGGACACGGUCCAGACUCCUACGGGAGGCAGCAGACGGGAAUCGUCCGCAAUGGGCGAAAGCCUGACGGAGCAACGCCGCGUGAGUGAUGAAGGUCUUCGGAUCGUAAAACUCUGUUAUGAGGGAAGAACAAAUGUGUAAGUAACCAUGCACGUCUUGACGGUACCUAAUCAGAAAGCCACGGCUAACUACGUG